RNAcentral lists this ribosomal RNA (812 nucleotides) under Oniscus asellus. RNAcentral describes it as "bacterial SSU rRNA". It matches the Rfam family "Eukaryotic small subunit ribosomal RNA", at positions 44 to 752 of the family's 1831-position model. The record is from RNAcentral. Lineage: Eukaryota; Metazoa; Arthropoda; Malacostraca; Isopoda; Oniscidae.
AAUAGCCAUGCCUGUCUCAGUUACACUGCCGCACCGUUAGGCGAUACCGCGAAUGGCUCCCUUAUCAGUCAUGAUUUAUGGGAUGUUGUAAAAUCCUUACUCGGAUAACUGUGGUAAUUCUAGAGCUAAUACGUGCAACUAGUCUCCGACCCCGGACCCUCGCGGUCGGGGGAAGGGCGCAUUUGUUAGACCAAAAACCGGGUGGACAGUCGGGGCAAUCUCCGCUUCGCGCGGCAGUAUUCGUCCUCGUCCAUUCCUCUACGGUUAUGUGGUGACUCUGGACAACUACAGCCGAGCGCUGAGGUCUUAGUACCGGCGCCGUAUCCUUCAAGUGUCUGCCUUAUCAGCUCUCGAUUGUAGGUUAUUCGCCUACAAUGGCUGUAACGGGUAACGGGGAAUCAGGGUUCGAUUCCGGAGAGGGAGCCUGAGAAACGGCUACCACAUCUAAGGAAGGCAGCAGGCACGCAAAUUACCCAAUCCCGGCUCGGGGAGGUAGUGACGAAAAAUAACGAUGCGGGACUCUUCCGAGGCCUCGCAAUCGGAAUGAGUCCAAUUUAAAAACUUGGACAAGGAUCCAUUGGAGGGCAAGUCUGGUGCCAGCAGCCGCGGUAAUUCCAGCUCCAAUAGCGUAUAUUUAAAGUUGCUGCGGUUAAAAAGCUCGUAGUUGGAUUUCUGAUGCGGACCGGGGAGCCCAUCCAAGGCGCGCCCUCGUCUUUAGCGNAGCGGCGGUUCCGGGGGGGUUCUUCCCGUGUCUCGUCAACGGCCGAAGGGGGGUGUCGUUGGGCAACCUCUUUCCCACGCUCCGGUUGGUC